UGACAGCUGUGACAGAGCAAGUGGCCCUCUAAUGGGUAACAGCGAUGGCCUUCCUCAUCAUUGAGCUGCAAGCCACAAUCCUAGGAGAAAAAUACACAUCCCCAUUUCAUGAGUGAUUCAGCAGGUGAAAUCACACCACUGGAAUCCACUGGAUCACAUCCAUUAGAAUCAACAUCAGCAACGCAUUUGUCUCUGAAGGACCACAAGCACAGAAUACAGCACGUCUGUUCCUGUCACUAAAGAAUCAAUCAAUGUCAAAACAACUACACCCUGAACUACAUGUGAUACCAAGGCAGUACUGGGCUCACGUGAAGCUGGAUACCCACCUUGGCACAUGCACCCCGUCGGACCAGUUUUCAGCAGCAGCAGGGAAGAGGCUCAGUUUCAUAUCUGACCCGAAUAGCAGCAGGUCGGCCAAGACUGUGCGAGGGGACCACGGAGGUCCAAAGACAAGGGCAGAACACUGUCCAGCCUGGAACCCAGGUGCAGACAUGUAACAUCAGUUGUUACAGGAAGCUCUUUUUUUCCAAGUGCUCUUUUGCCUUGUUUACUAUAGAAAACAAAGCUUAUGUACUCAAAAUGACAAUAUAUGCCCAUCUACUAAGUUUUAAACUGACACCUACAUGUUGAUAAGUUAGAGAGGCUCCAGGAUAAAAAGGUUCCACUAUAUUAGGCAGAAGACAGACGGCUUGUAAGUGUUCCAAUUAAGAAUGAGGCAUUUCACAGAGUUAUCUUAGCAUUUUGUAAAAAGUAAGCUAGAAAUGAUGCUGUCCCAAGGAAUGAUCACAAUUGCUGUUCGCAACCAAGACAGCAAACAUCGAAAAGAAAGAAGGCUCUUUGCAACUUUCUUUUAAUACAUAAAAUCAGGAUCAGCUCUAGGUUUUUAACAUCAGUUUUCACAUUUAACCAUUUUGUGGGUUUCUACGUUUAAAUGUAUCUAAUAAUUACUUCCUGCACUGUUUCUAUAUUCUAUGUGUUGCGAACUAAAAGGAAGGUGUAAGAGAAUUGUUGCUUUAGCAAAGGAUUCAACUUGCAGAAGGAAAAAUGACCCACCAUUGACACACGCUGUCCACAACUGUUCUCUCCAGUCUCCGUAACACUUGGCCUGGUGCUGAAAACACACCAGCCAGGAAGCCAAGAUGGGGUAAGACUUUUUCCAACAGUUUCAAAAGCUGCUCCAGGCCCUUACGGAACAAAAUGUGAAUCGGAUCGGGUUUUACAGUCUCAAGGAGGAGCUCCGAGUGCCGAAAACAUCCUGCCCCCUUCCCCAGCAGCACUGAACACAUCUUCAAAGCCCUUCUGGAUGCUGUUAGCAGGGGGAUAUUUGUCUGUGGAGAGGUGAGUUUAUCAAGUCACAGCCUUCAGUGGUAGAUCUCCAGCCCCACACAGCAUGAUGCAACUGAAUCAGGGGCUGACCCCCUCCUCUCCUUUAUGAAACAAGAGAUAGCAAUGUCUCACUGUCACAGCAUGGUUAUUAGACCUAAUUACUGCUUGCAGCACGCUUUGAAGUUGGAAAGUACUGAGCAUUAUUAUAUUUUAAGUACUUUGAUGAUUAAAAACAUGCAACCGUUGGGUAAUAAUCAUGAUUUACUACUAUCGUAGAGUAAGCAAGUUCAUGUGAGAAGUCUGUGUUGUCUGAGGGGCUGACGCUACUUACAAACAAACAGCUCCCCUCUGACAUAAUGGGAAUGCUGCAGCCUCAGCCUCUAAGAUAAUGCCCGGCACAGCCCUUAGACUACUCACGUGCUGCAAAAAUACACCAGCAUACUUUGUCAUCAUCAUUAUCUCUGCCAGGAUAUUUUUGAUACAUGUGCCUCUCCUCAUAACUUCUCGGUGGAAGGUUUAAGUGGGAACAACAUGCAAGAUGACUAGUAAUAUCCUUUUUAUUUCUCAUGUUACAGUUGUAUGGAACAAGAAGCCCAUAGUUUAGUCAGAAAAUGCAAUGGACUGCAACUGAAGAGUUCAGCUGUACUGCUGCUAAAGAUAAGGAAGCUUCCUUCGUUAAAACAGAGCUAAUUAAAAGCCUGCACAGCCAAAACUAUUGCCACGGAAUAUUAUUUGAGUACCUGCCAUUCCUGUUCGCUAGAAACACGCCUGGGUAGGUCUGACCACACACGAGCACAGACCUCAGCUCUGCCACUGCAUCUCCCAUGGAGGCGCGGCUCCUCCAGGGCCCUGCUCAGGCAGAAAGGGGUGGCUGUGUGAGAGCGGGUGGGAUGGCUGGAGCUGCCCUGCUGCAGCAUCUCUCCUCCAGCUGCCAGCACAGAGAUGUCCUUGAGCCCCCAGCACAGCCCAGUGCUGCUCCAGGGGACACUUGAUGAAGUAUUUCCACGCUCUCCAAGUUUUGGUCCGAAACUCAUGCAGCUUUCUGAGCACAUCAGCCCCUGGCUCUUCAUGCCUGACUGACGAACAAAUUGUGCAUAUCUGUUUUAUUUAGCAAUGUUAAACAUGGACCUAAUUGCAUGCUAACAGAUUCAGAUGCCAACCCUGCAGCAACUGAUGCGGCAGCAGCAUCAUUACCAGUCUCAUGUUAACAUCUUAAACGAGUCUCUCAAAGGGUUGGACUAAAAGUGGCAUACAGGAAGGAUUAAUACAUAACAACAUCUGCUCAAGUAUUUCACAGCUGCCAUAAGAGAGAAGGAAAAUGCCUGCAUGUUGCCCCAGAACCCUAUUCGAGCGAAACCAGACUAGUCACAAAGUAGCCUGGGCUGAGCAGAAGUUGCAUUCGCUUGUCUGCUGUCCUUCUGCAGCCAGAGCCAACACUGCGUUAGGAAACAAACUUUACCAGGCCAGACUUGGUAACUUAGUUUUACAACAGUUUGCCCAGGACUGCUGUUUCAGAGUCAUUCUGCAAAGGCCAUCCACAGGCUGCCCUUACUCUCUGCACAGACAGAACCCCACGUGCCACCCAUGCCCACAUCCCGGGAGCCCAUCCUUGAGCCUGUGCCAGGGCAACUGGUCCCCAAGGGAUCUGUGGCAAGGGCUGCAGAUACUGUGCGAUAGUACAGGGCACCACAAUGGAGACCGCCAUCCCUAGCAUUAAAUUCUCCAGCACAGAUGCUGCAGUUUUUCUUGCCAUGCAAGGUGCCAGCUGUGUGCCCUUGGAAAGCACAGAACUGCUUAGUUUGCCUUCUGACAGCAUCACACAGAUCCAGAUUUCAAAAAAUGUCAGGUUAAAAAUUUAGAUAUACAUUUUACUGGUUGAGAAGCAGGGACUAAGAUAACUCAAACAUUGAAAAGUGAAUGCAAUAUUUGGAAUACAGUCUGCCAAACUGGAGGCCAGAACAUCAGUACGUCUGAGAAGCAGAAGAUAAAACUAAAGCUAGAGGUUGAUACUUUAAGAGAAAUACCAAGUUUACAAACACAGAAGAAAUUACUGAAAAUAUUAAAUAACAAUAACCUGUUUCUGUUACCUCCUCUACCCACUUAGCACAGGACAAAACUGAUGCAGAAUUUCAUCCAGAUGUAUUUUCCUUCACUACGAAGGGGACACUCGCCUGCCCAGGAAUUAAAGACGUGCCAAAAGAAAACAAAAGCUUCCAAUGCUUUUUAUUUAUUUGUUAUCAUUUCUCCUCAACUGACACUUGAGUUUGAGCCUUCAGUUCUCCACCCCUUACUCUGGCUUCUGACUGCGUAUCUGCAGAGAGGUUUUCUUUACUUGGGGUUUCUGUUACUCACUUAGUUGAAAACAAGGAGCACCAAGGCUGCUUAGCCCCUCAAUACCCAUUAGUUACAUUUUUCUUCUCCAUCUCCUCCACGGGAGCAUAACUGCCCCAAGUAAGGCGGGACAGGGUCCAUGUGGAGCAUGCAGCCGUGGCAGCAGGGUGCAGCCGUGCAGCAUCUCUUUGUACUGGGCAAGGAGCUACCGACAGACCUGCACCCCAACCCCACUGCCCGCAACUGGGGUGGGUGACAUUUCCAUCCCCCACCACCACCGCCUGGUCCCCAUCUCACAAUGCUCAGCGCUGCUGCUUUGUGAGAGGAGGGGUGAAUUUUUAGGGCUUUCAGGGUUUUUAAGAUAGAAAAAAAUCAAUGCCAAAUUCCUUUGAAUAGAAGAUACUGCGUGUUGGCAGAAGCCACUUUUCACAGACUGCAGCCGUUUGAAAUCUGAAACACUAAAAAGUGGCUACUGUGGAUGUGCUGUAUUCUUCUUUUCAAAGCAAUCUGGCACACAAUUUUGGUUCCCCGUUUCAGGACCCAAUCCUGCAUUCCUUUCACGCUCAGACUCCCAUUGACUUUAAGGAAUGCAGGAUUGGAUCCUAAAUGUGUGCUUUACUCACACAAUAGCUCCUCAUGGUUACGAUCUAUUGAGAAAGGCACACUUUCAAAAACCAUUUGGAAUUGCAGGCUCAUCCACCGGGCCAGAAUGCUUGUAAAGAUCUUCCAUUAUUUCAGGAAAAAUGCUCGGUGUGUGAAUUACACACACACAUGUACAUUCACACAUUUUUCUGGUUUCAAGCUGCAGGCACAGCUUAGCUUGAGAUGCAUCAAAAUAUUUUGAGCGGUGGCCUGAUAGCUAAUAAAGAAACCACGCGUAAAUUUAGUUUCUGAAAACAAGCAAAACUCCAGGGAAAAAGAAAACACUAAGGCAAAUAUAUAAGCAGCUGAAUCUUUAGGAUGGUUUUUCAGAGAACACUUGUAAAAGCCUUUAAAAGACCGGCACCAGCUCAGACAAAACAGAGUCCAGCACUGCUAUUUUUGAGGAUGCCGUAUAUUGAGUUACGAGGCUAUUACAAUGCAAAUCUCAAAUGUACAAGCUUUUUACUUGGCCGUAAACACAAAACAGUAUACAUUGUCCUUUCAGAAGAAAAGGUUUGCUGCUAAAAUAGCAGAAGCCCUACGUAAAUAACCAACAUUCUUUCUGACUGAGGUCACUGACUUGGCCUAUUCAAUUCCGGGCUAGUCUGGGAUUUGACAAUCUAAGCAGGGGAGAGGCCCUUUCCUUUUUUUUCAAAAGAAUGCUGGGAUUUUAUUUGAAAUUUAAACUCUUGCAAACAAAAGGUGGCAUCGUACGCUAGAGGCCUAUGAAGGUGGAGUACAGGAUGUGUAUUGUUUUCUCCCUUUACAUAGAUUCUUUCAGGAGAGAGUAUUCAGUCUGUGAACAAAUUCUAAUCAAAUAUUAUCAAGUAGGUAGAAGUAGCACGACACGAACAGUUUUAAGGGAUUAGGAAAUUUGCUUCUAAAAAAUUUUGAUCCACUGUAUCUAUUAAAAUGUUUGUGUGGUAAUUUAAAAUGUCUUUUAAAAAACCUUUAACUGAAAAUUCCUCCAUGAUUUAAGUUCCUGUACUAACUCUUAUUUGUAUGUUAAAAAAUAACCACUCGAUACAAAUUAGCUGUGGCUGCAAAGCAGCAUUCAUUUUCAAUCUCUAUCGCAAGUUGAUCUGUCCCAAAGAGGCAGCUGGCAGCUUGCUGUUUUUCCUGAUUCCUGCUGCCCAGCCCUUAUCGGGGCACUUCACAGACCCACCCCCUCGUAUAAAACAGUGGCCAAUUCUGUGUCUGCGCUGCUAACCAGGCUCUGCGCUGCUCUCAGCCAGCACAGGAGCAGCGCGCACACUCCUGCCACACCAAGGUACUGUACCCACAGCUCCCAUCACAUACAACUAUCCUAAGCUGAAUUUGCAGCUAGUAGAAAUUGUUCUGCCCCCAACAUACUGUGUCUUUGCUAUGCACUAGCUAAAUGGUAAAAUCUAGAUGAAAACGAGACAGUUUAUCACUUUGACACGUUUGUAGCUCAAGGUAAACUCUAGACUUUCCUCUGCAGUUUACUUUAACAUGCCAUGAUAUCAAAAUGAAAAACUCAUUACCUUCUCUUGGAUUUUGCCUCGUGUCAGCUAGUACACUGAAGAGAACACCUUUAUAUCCAGAAAGCAUGCUCUUGCUGCCAAGAAGCCUUGCGUUUUUGCACUUAGGUUGGUAAUACAUCUUGCUCUGACUGCUAUGCAGCUUUCAUCUUAACUAAAUCAGCAAGCCUGAGUCUGAGUGGAGAGAAUGUGGAGGGUACAUUUCUGGCCCAGUCUAGCUGUGUGACCAAGCUGUCAGUCUCCAGUAGGAUUAUGUAGAUAAAUAGCUAAUAUCUUUUGUUACCUUGCUGGAAAACCCCACCUUUCUUGGCAGGGUAUCCACAAUCUCCAUGCCAUGUUUACUCUACUGUGGAAUUCUCUCUUCCUUUCUCUCUCCUCCUACUCUUCUGUCAGGUUAUUUAACCAAAAGGUUACUUAGUGCUGCAGGAACUAGAAGAUCUCUGACCUUCGGUACUUGGGCAAAGCGUUCCUGUACUGACCAUAUUAUAAACUCUGCAGAUACUUUCAAGCUUCCAUACGUUUUGCAAACGUCACAAUUCAGCAGAUGUUUCCUUUCUUUCCCCAUUUAUGUAUUUAUUCCAUCCCAUCACCCAUCAAUUCCAGGAUUAAGGCAUAAAUUAUUUCCCUGGAGCUCUGACAGAUGAACCUGCAUUUAAAAGGAGUUUGUAAAAAUGUAUGCUAAGCAUGUAUUUGAAAACAGAAAUGCAAGAGCCUGCACUGAUCUAAUAGCUGUUUUUGGCCUACAUAUAUUAACAUUUCUCUUAAAAUAUA
Molecule: long non-coding RNA, 6572 nt
Organism: Numida meleagris (helmeted guineafowl)
Lineage: Eukaryota; Metazoa; Chordata; Aves; Galliformes; Numididae
Exons: 3
Source: RefSeq, a predicted model, not a curated record